RNAcentral lists this ribosomal RNA (393 nucleotides) under uncultured bacterium. Its description in RNAcentral is "partial 16S ribosomal RNA". It matches the Rfam family "Bacterial small subunit ribosomal RNA", at positions 523 to 918 of the family's 1533-position model. The record is from RNAcentral.
AUACGGAGGACGCGAGCGUUAUCCGGAUUCAUUGGGUUUAAAGGGUGCGCAGGCGGCCGUGCAAGUCAGCGGUGAAAGCCCGGGGCCCAACCCCGGAAGUGCCGUUGAUACUGCAUGGCUUGAAUGCGGUCGAGGCGGGCGGGAAGGGUCGGGUAGGGGGGAAAUGCGUAGAUAUGCCACAGAACGCCGAUAGCGGAGGCAGCUCGCCAGGCCUGCAUUGACGCUCGGGCACGAAAGCGUGGGGAUCGAACAGGAUUAGAUACCCUGGUAGUCCACGCCGUAAACGAUGGGCGCUCGUCGUCGGCGGCAGACAGUCGGCGGCCAAGCGAAAGCGAUAAGCGCCCCACCUGGGGAGUACGGUCGCAAGGCUGAAACUCAAAGGAAUUGGCGGGG